Eucalyptus grandis is the source of this 3598-nucleotide RNA transcript. It is a transcript of the gene named calcium-binding mitochondrial carrier protein, with no coding region annotated. Lineage: Eukaryota; Viridiplantae; Streptophyta; Magnoliopsida; Myrtales; Myrtaceae. The transcript is spliced from 9 exons. The record is from RefSeq and is a predicted model, not a curated record.
CCUCGACAUCGUGGCUCGACUACAUUGAAUUUGAAUUGAAAAACAAUUUUUCCUUUGUAAGUGUCACUCCAAUUUUGCUUAUAUGUCGUACGACCGAGGAAGCUCCCACCCCACCCUAUGGAGGAAAAGUUCGGAUUUUUCCAAUCGUUCGUCGUGCCAGAUGCUCGAUGAAGCCGCAGUCAGGCGCAUCGGAUCGAAUCUCCUCGCCGCGCGGGGCCAAAUCCAUACGGUAGUCGCGCCAACACACGAAUCUUCCCAGCAAUUUCCGGCACGCCGCAGCCAUCUUUCGAGUUCGCGCUGUCGCAGAGCGUAAUCCCAGGUUUCUACAUAAACCCACGCUCCUUAAACCCUGAUUUUACAGCAACAGUCCCCCCCAGCUCUCUGAUUCUUCUCGGGGGGAAGAAGGGAAAUGAAUCGCCGAGCUGCGGAGGCGCCCGUUUCGGCUCGUGACGGUUCGAGCUUGUUCAGGAGUCCAUCAUUAAGCUGCUUGCUCUGGUUCUUUUCGAUUGGAGGGAGUGUUGGCAGAUGUAACGCAACAACGGGAAGGCUUUGACUGAUAAUUUACGUCUUAUGUUUUGCCUCUCCGAGUUAUUGCUGCAGUAUCUGCCUCUUGGAGGGGGAUUUGAGAAUGUCUACAAGUCAGACCAGCAAAACACCUAGAAGGAGUCAACCUUCAAUCCAGUACCAAUGUAACAGAGUUGAGCAGGCAACCUUUGAGUUUGCUGAUUUUGUCCACAAAGAGGGUGUCCCUGCACAUGCUGAAACUUUUCAGCAGGAAAAGGCUGAUUGCAAGUCCAAAUCAUCUGAAAUACUGAGCACUUCUGAACUCAUCUCAGCAUUUGGCCAUGCAUGGGACUAUACAAGUCGUUCUCUUGCAGUUUUACAACAAAAAACGAACUUAAGUUACAAAGUCUCUGGCGAGAAGGAAGAUAUCUUGCAUAAUGUGAAAUUGCAACAAAAUGGCUGUACAUCUACUUUGCCUAAAUGUAAUCAUUCUGACAUCAACUUAACAGAGAUGCGGCAACUGUACCUAGACAUCCUUAGGAUAACUAACAGAACAUCAGUGCUUAAACUUAACAGGGAGAGCACUGGGCAGUAUCAAUCACCGGUACGGAAUUUUACUGGGGAUAUGACCAAUUUGCUUAAUGGACCUAGGGAUGGAAAAGGGAUUUCGUGUUUGGGGAUCUCAUCUGGACUGGGACUUAUUUAUGGCUGGAUGAAUGAAUUGAUACCUGCUGAGGCCAAACAUCCUUUCAAGACUGCUAUAUCUGAUAGUGAAAAAGCUGGUAAAUACUUUUGUGGAGAAAUAGUUACUCCACCGCAAGAUCUUAUGUCACGAGAUAAAGGCCCCAAAAGCUUCAUAGAUAGUGGAAAUGCUGAUUCUUACACCCCCUCUAUCCAAUCCAAGGAUUUGCCAGUGGAUAACAACGCAAAAUUGAUCUUGGACAAGAAGGAAAGCACCUUAUUGCUUUCGGAUUAUUACCUCAAAGUGGCCAAUAUUGAGGCAGACAGCUGUAUCUCAAAAGCUGCAUCUUCUACACUUCAUGCAGAUCAUCAUCUAAAAUUUGUAGCAUCUGAAAAAGGUGAAUGCAAACUUGACUAUGAGAGCACUAACGGUAUUGAAUUCUUUCCUGAAAGAAAGGAAGAGGACAAUCAUCGUCCUGCCCAGGAAGAGCAUACCAUGAAGAUACACUGUCUGGGACAUGAUAAGCCUCAGGCUGCUGUUGCCAAGGAAGAACAUGCAUUUGCUGGGGCAUUUAGUGGCAUCUUUGUCAGCCUUUGUCUUCACCCAGUAGAUACAAUCAAAACUGUCAUUCAGUCUUACCGUGCAGAGCAGAAGUCUCUUUGCUAUAUUGGAAAAUCAAUUGUUUCUGAGAGAGGUCUAACUGGACUAUAUCGAGGUAUCUCAAGCAAAAUUGCAUCUUCAGGUCCAAUUUCUGCAAUUUAUACUUUCACAUACGAGUCGGUAAAAGGCGCUUUACUUCCUCUUUUCCCCAAGGAGUAUUACUCCAUCACACAUUGUAUUGCAGGUGGUUGUGCAAGCAUUGCUACCUCUUUUGUCUACACUCCUAGUGAACGCAUAAAGCAGCAGAUGCAAGUGGGCUCUCACUAUCAUAACUGCUGGAAUGCGUUGGUUGGAAUAAUCACAAGAGGUGGUAUGCCUUCUUUAUAUGCUGGUUGGGGAGCUGUGCUCUGUAGAAAUAUUCCCCACUCAGUGGUCAAGUUCUAUGUUUAUGAGAAUCUAAAGAUGUGGACGCUUUCCUCACUCCCACCCGGUGCUCAACUGAACACCUUGCAGACGCUUGUUUGUGGAGGACUAGCAGGAUCUACUGCGGCUUUAUUUUCAACUCCUUUUGACGUAGUGAAGACAAGAUUACAAACUCAGGUUUGGUGGGAUUUCAUUGCGUAUGUAUAUCUGUAUGUAACACAAUCUAUACACAAAGUAAGGGGUGAUGUUAAGUGAAGAUCUCAUCAAUUCCAUGGUCAGCUUUUCUUUUUUCAGUACAAAAUGAUAACAAAAUGAGAAGUAGGUGGAGACUGUCCAUUUGUGUGAAUUCUGAGUCGGCAAUUUGAUAGAAUGGAUAGUAUAAAUCACCAGCACCUGGACAUAUGAACACAUGAAACUUUGGUUUUGUGGAAAUGUUAAAAAAAGAAAAAAAGAAAAGAAAGGCAUUGUGAAGUAAGGACAAUUAUACACUUGGGGGAUGGUGGUUUGUUUGUCUAUGAUGAUCAUUUUCUGUAAAUCAGCUAAAAAUAAAUUACACUUAAGUACUUCCAAGGGUCUUCCGCUCAUCGAUGCAAUAUUUACUUCUGCAUGUCCACUCUCUUCUUAUUUCACAGCAGCCAUAACUGAGUUUUCUGUAAUUGUCCAUUUAUUUAGGAAUCACUGAACCAUGUACACUGUUAUUUGGCAGUUAUUUCUGCAAUUGAUUAAUAAUCAGAGGAAUGCAGAGUAAAUCAACAUGACUCACCUCAAUUUUAAGAAAUACGCAAAAUCAUGCCAACCAUUUAUUUGGGGUUUCAUAGCAGUAUAAUUCAAACUCUUUGUCAGCUUAUGAAAAAGAAAUUAAUUUUCUUUCUUGAUAUUGAGAUUAUGAAAGCUAAUGAGCUUGGAUCUGUAAAUGGGGCUUUACAGCCUUCUUCAGAAAACUGUCAUAUCAAUCGACAUAUGAAUUGAAUCAAUUGCUUUCACUAAAGCAUGUUUUGGAUGAUAAUUUGGAGAUAAAAACAUCUUAUUUGGAAUUCAUUUUUGAGGUUACUAAAGCAAUCUGCCAUCUUCCCUGGGCAGUAAAAUAUAGCAGUGAGGUUUGAAGUGUUUGUUCAUUUCAGAGUUGAAAGUUAGAUUUGAUGCUAGUAUCAUGAGCCUGUAAUCUCAAUCCAAAGUAACAUAUCAGGUUGGAAUUAUUAGUUAACCUGAUGAGCUUCUCAAAAGCUAGUUACUUUGCAGAUACCUGGUUCUAUUCGUCCCUAUAAUGAUGUUUUCCAUGCCGUUCGAGAAAUAGGCCGGCAUGAAGGGUUGAAAGGCCUCUACAGGGGAUUGACUCCAAGACUUAUUAUGUACAUUUCUCAAGGAGCGCUAUUCUUUGCAUCAUAUGAG